CGGGUGAGUAACACGUGGGUAACCUGCCUGUAAGACUGGGAUAACUCCGGGAAACCGGAGCUAAUACCGGAUAGUUCCUUGAACCGCAUGGUUCAAGGAUGAAAGACGGUUUCGGCUGUCACUUACAGAUGGACCCGCGGCGCAUUAGCUAGUUGGUGGGGUAAUGGCUCACCAAGGCGACGAUGCGUAGCCGACCUGAGAGGGUGAUCGGCCACACUGGGACUGAGACACGGCCCAGACUCCUACGGGAGGCAGCAGUAGGGAAUCUUCCGCAAUGGACGAAAGUCUGACGGAGCAACGCCGCGUGAGUGAUGAAGGUUUUCGGAUCGUAAAGCUCUGUUGUUAGGGAAGAACAAGUGCGAGAGUAACUGCUCGCACCUUGACGGUACCUAACCAGAAAGCCACGGCUAACUACGUGCCAGCAGCCGCGGUAAUACGUAGGUGGCAAGCGUUGUCCGGAAUUAUUGGGCGUAAAGGGCUCGCAGGCGGUUUCUUAAGUCUGAUGUGAAAGCCCCCGGCUCAACCGGGGAGGGUCAUUGGAAACUGGGAAACUUGAGUGCAGAAGAGGAGAGUGGAAUUCCACGUGUAGCGGUGAAAUGCGUAGAGAUGUGGAGGAACACCAGUGGCGAAGGCGACUCUCUGGUCUGUAACUGACGCUGAGGAGCGAAAGCGUGGGGAGCGAACAGGAUUAGAUACCCUGGUAGUCCACGCCGUAAACGAUGAGUGCUAAGUGUUAGGGGGUUUCCGCCCCUUAGUGCUGCAGCUAACGCAUUAAGCACUCCGCCUGGGGAGUACGGUCGCAAGACUGAAACUCAAAGGAAUUGACGGGGGCCCGCACAAGCGGUGGAGCAUGUGGUUUAAUUCGAAGCAACGCGAAGAACCUUACCAGGUCUUGACAUCCUCUGACAACCCUAGAGAUAGGGCUUUCCCUUCGGGGACAGAGUGACAGGUGGUGCAUGGUUGUCGUCAGCUCGUGUCGUGAGAUGUUGGGUUAAGUCCCGCAACGAGCGCAACCCUUGAUCUUAGUUGCCAGCAUUCAGUUGGGCACUCUAAGGUGACUGCCGGUGACAAACCGGAGGAAGGUGGGGAUGACGUCAAAUCAUCAUGCCCCUUAUGACCUGGGCUACACACGUGCUACAAUGGACAGAACAAAGGGCUGCAAGACCGCAAGGUUUAGCCAAUCCCAUAAAUCUGUUCUCAGUUCGGAUCGCAGUCUGCAACUCGACU
RNAcentral lists this ribosomal RNA (1227 nucleotides) under Bacillus sp. (in: firmicutes). Its description in RNAcentral is "bacterial SSU rRNA". It matches the Rfam family "Bacterial small subunit ribosomal RNA", at positions 103 to 1317 of the family's 1533-position model. The record is from RNAcentral. Lineage: Bacteria; Bacillati; Bacillota; Bacilli; Caryophanales; Bacillaceae.